Molecule: ribosomal RNA, 547 nt
Filed under: uncultured archaeon
Lineage: Archaea
Description: bacterial SSU rRNA
Rfam family: Archaeal small subunit ribosomal RNA
Source: RNAcentral
GCACCACAAGGGGUGGAACCUGCGGUUCAAUUGGAUUCAACGCCGGACAACUCACCAGGGGCGACAGUUGGUUGAAGGCCAGGUUGACGACUUUGCUGGACUAGCUGAGAGGUGGUGCAUGGCCAUCGUCAGCUCGUACCGUCCGGCGUCCUGUUAAGUCAGGCAACGAGCGAGAUCCUCGCCCCUAGUUGCCAUCGGUGGGAAGCCGGGCACUCUAGGGGGACCGCUGGCGCUAAGUCAGAGGAAGGAGAGGGCGACGGUAGGUCAGUAUGCCCCGAAUCCCCUGGGCUACACGCGGGUUACAAUGCGCAGGACAAUGAGAUGCAACCCCGUAAGGGGGAGCCAAGCCCCUAAACCUGCGCUCGGUUCGGAUCGAGGGCUGUAACUCGCCCUCGUGAAGCUGGAAUCCCUAGUAAUCGCGUGCCAACACCGCGCGGUGAAUGCGUCCCUGCUCCUUGCACACACCGCCCGUCAAGCCACUCGAGUGGGGUCCGGAUGAGGUCAGUUCAAGUUGGGCUGCUCGAAUCCGAGUUCUGCAAGAGGGGCU